This 9552-nucleotide long non-coding RNA is filed under the name Populus trichocarpa (black cottonwood). Its description in RNAcentral is "long non-coding RNA (PTRI_LNC001017)". The record is from RNAcentral. Lineage: Eukaryota; Viridiplantae; Streptophyta; Magnoliopsida; Malpighiales; Salicaceae.
UCAACAUCUACUGGCCCUGUUGCCGGGACGCUCUAUCUAUCAACUGCUCGAGUCGCGUUCUGCAGCGACCGUCCUCUGUGCCAUACUGCUCCUUCAGGGGAGGAGGCCUGGAGCUACUACAAGGUAAAUACAUCGCUAGACACCAAGUCGGAUAGAUUUUACCACAUUCAUAGCUAUUAUUAUAUAUAGUUAAGCUCUGUUAAAUUCCAAACAAAAGGUGAAGUUGAGAGAAAUCGUGCAUCUAUAAAAGGGUAGUUCACGGAGAUACAGCAAAACAAAACUAAAUAUAUUUGGCAAUCAAAGCUCAAACUAAAUUUUCUAUCUUGCUAUAGUCAUCCGUGUAUAUCAUGGUAGUACUUAAUGAAUUCAAUAAUAACUUAUUUUGAGCAGGUUAUGAUACCCUUGGACAAAAUAAGCACAGUCAGCUCGGAGAUCAUGCUGGAAAAUCCAUCAAGGAAGUACAUUCAAAUUGUCAGCACCGAUGGGCACGACUUCUGGUUUAUGGGUUUCGUUAAUUUCGAGAAAGCCUUGCAAAAUCUAUCAGAGAGCGUGUCGAGUUUCAAGGAAGCAGGAAUUGCAAUUCAACCAGUUGUUGCUUAGCCAAUGAUUGCAUUUGGAGUUGAAUCCUUCAAAAUUUUGAUUUUCACUGUUUCUAGUGGAUUUAUUGUUUGUUGCCUGAAGGGAGCUUUCCUUUAGUCUUCCUCUUGUCAUUCUUUUAUUCUUGUCGCACCCUACAUCGCGACAACCUUAAAAAUUUAUCAUGAAAUAAAAUGGAUUUCUGGUAUCCUGUUUUUUAAUGGGGAACGGUUUUGUUUAAGGAGUCGCCACCUAGUAUUAUGGUCACUAGAAACCCUAACUGGUCAACAGAGAUUCUAUGGUACGAGACUGGUUACGUAAAAGGAAAGAUACUAUCACCCCUUAAACGUCCUGCCUGAGGCAGGCUGCAUUGCUGGUUUUGUCAUAAAUUGCUAACAUUUUGUUGGUUUAUGUUAUGAUGGUUUGUGUGUAAUAUUCCUGACUCUGACGCUAGUGAAUAUUUAACUACAGAUAUUUCCAACUCUGGCGUUGGUAAAUAUUACGCGGCUAUAAAAACAAAAUAAAUCUAAAUCAGUAUUUUUUAUUCCUGACUCUGGCGUCAGUGAAUAAACAAAUCAAAUAAAUUUAUUUUUUACGCAUACACAUUUUUUUAUGUAACUAAAUAAAAGUAAAAUACAAUAAAAUAAAAUAAAUUUACAUCAAUAUCUUUAUUCCUGACUCUGGCGUCAGUGAAUAAACCAAUAAAUUUAUUUUAUUUUUGCAUUCAUAUUUUUUAUUUUUAUGUAAUUUAAAUAAAAUACAAUGAAAUAAAUUUGAAUCAAUAUUUUUAUUCUAACUCUAGCAUCAAUGAAAAAAAAAAUUCAUAUUUAUUUUUUUAUUUAUACAUACACACAUCUUUGUUUUUUUGUUUUGUUUUUUUGGACUGGGCUGGACCCAGCCAGCCCGGCCCGGGUCACUGGCCCAAGCCAGUGACCCGGCUGGGCAAAAUGUGGAGCACGCGUGAAGUGAUUUCACGCGUGCAUUCACUGUGCGAAGGUAGUACAGUGUUCUUUGAUCAUUUAAUUUCAAAGAACGCAAAGGGAUGAAGAGCUGGCGUACCUGCUUCUAGAGUGGCGAAGAUGGCUGCAACGCUGGUGGUGACUUUCGCCUGCUUGAUACCUUUACUUCUGCCUUCCCUUUUUGCUCCUGUUUCCACGGUCUGCUUUCGUUUUCCAGCAGAUUUUGAGAUAAUGAAGGAACCGAGAACGAAGGUGCCGGCUUCUGUGGAUACUGAUUUUUGGGUCGUUUUCUGCAGGGAUGAAAGCAAUGGCAGAACCCAUUAUCCUCUCCGUGUUGUUCCUCUGCUUUUCUUUUGUUUCAAUUCGUGCUCUGCCUUCCCCUGUUUUCUGGUUUUUUUCUCUGGGUUUUGCUCCAGUUCUCUCCUCUGGUUCUUUUUUUUCCCCCCUGGUUCUGUUUUUUUCGUCUAGGUUUAGCUUGAGUUUUUCCUCGGUUUCUCCUUCAAACCCCCCUGCUUUUCUUCCUCUGUUUUCUGGGUUUUUCUUCUCUGGUUUUUCGUUUCCCCCCCCCCCCCCCUCUCGCUCUGGGUUUUUCUUCCCCUUUUAUAGAGACCCAGCAGCUUGCCUCUAACCAGUCCUGCCUUUGCAGGACUGUUAUCUUCCACGAACGAGAUCGUGGGCAAGAGACGUGGUCCACGAUUGGAUCUGUUGCAGAUUUUCAGGUCUCCGGUUGAAUCGGGAUGAAGAAGAUCACACGACUGUUCCACCAGCAAUGGCGACGUUUCGGCUAAAAGACACAUUUUCAUUUUGACCCCUGCUUCUUUGGAAAUUCGGCAAUUGGAUCUCUAAGCAAUUAAAAAUUUAUUUUAAUUUUGCCCUUUUGGAUUAAUUUCAAUUAAAUACCUAAAUUAUAACACUGUUUACAAAACAGUCCUUAAUUCCCGGAUUGUUCAAUUUGGCCUUUAAUUAAAUCUUUAACUUUUAAUUCUUUCAAAAUUGAUCAAUUAACUCUCAAAUUUUAUAAUUACAUCCCCAAACUUCAAAUUUUGUGUUGUCUUAACCCCAUUGUCAACUAUAUUUAAUUUUUAUUAUUUUGUUCAAAAAUUGGGUUAAGACAGUUGCCUUCUCUUUAUAAUAUUUACAAUACAAAGACAUUGAAAAAUUUCAUUUUCUUGAGCUUUGUGUGGUAAAUUUAUAAAAAAAAAAUGUAGACAAAUUUUUUUUUGUUUUUGUUUUUUUAAGUCUUGAAAACUUCGAAAACAUAUGACUUUUACAGAGAGAACAGGUCAUUUGGAAGACAGCCCAUUUUUGAUUUUUUUGUUUUUUUUUUUGAAAUGAAUCAAAUUGUUUUGGGCAUCCAGCCCGAUGAUAAAAGAAACGCGAAGAAUUUCGCGAGUGGUCUAAUUGUUCCAGGCGACCUGCCCGAUAAAGAAUAAAACGCGAAAAUGGUUUCGCAAGUGGUCUAAUUGUUCCAGGCGACCUGCCCGAUGAUUGAAAAAUACGAGGAUUUUUCAUGAUGAUCACAUUGUAAUGGGUUACCUGCCCAGAUGGUUACAUUGUAAUGAGUUACCUGCCCAGUGAACAAAUACGAGGAUUUUUCAGGAUGGUACAUUGUAAUGGGUUACCAGCCCAGAUGGUCACAUUGUAAUGGGUUACCUGCCCAGUGAAAAAAUACGAUGAUUUUUUCAAAAGAAGACGUGAUAGGGCUCGAAGGCGCAUUGUUCAAUAGAUGGAAGCUCGAAGGUAAUGAGGGCUCGGAGGCGCGCUCAAAAGGAAAUGAGAGCUCGAGGGCGCACUCAAAAGGAGGUAGGGUUAGGAAAGGCAUUACCUUUAAUGGCCGAGGACUCGAAGGCGCACUCGAAAAGAAAUGAGGUGAGGGCUCAAAGGCGCACUCAAAAGGAGGUAGGAUAGGAAACACACUACCUUUGAUGGUCGAGGGCUCGAAGGCGCGCUCGAAAAGAAAUGAGGUGAGGGCUCGAAGGCGCCCUCAAAAGGAGGUAGGAUAGAAAAUGCACUACCUUUGAUGGUCGAGGGCUCGAAGGCACACUCGAAAGGAGGUAGGGUAGGAAACACACUACUUUUGAUGGUCGAGGGCUCGAAGGCGCACUCGAAAAGAAAUGAGGUGAGGGCUCGAAGGCGCACUCAAAAGGAGGUAGGAUAGGAAAUGCACUACCUUUGAUUGUCGAGGGCUCAAAGGCGCACUCGAAAGGAGGUAAGGUAGGAAACGCACUACCUUUGAUGGUCGAGGGCUCGAAGGCGCACUCGAAAAAAAAAAUGAGAUGAGAGCUCGAAGGCGCACUCAAAAGAAGGUAGGGUAAGAAACGCACUACCUUGGGAAUGGAAAAUGAAAGGUGGUGGAAAAAUACAGAGAUUUUUCAGGUGGCCUAAUUCUCAUUGGCGGCCUGCCCAGGUUGAAAAAUUCUCAAAAGUGAAAAAUUUUCAAAAGCAAUUUCAAUGUUCGCCAUUUCAAGUUGGCCUUCCACUUGAUGAAUUUCGUUAGAAUUUUCUCUUAUGAAAUUUGCAAAACUUAUUGUACAAUGUCUCAAAGUUUAAAUGAUAUGCAUGCAUCUUUACCUGAUUUGAAAUAUAGGCCCCCCAUUUCUUCGUAGUCUUCUUGUUGCUUGGUUGGUGAGAUCUUGUCAUCUUUAUCGUUUGGCUUUCUAGCCCACUCGAGUUAGCCCAUAUAAGUCUUUUUCCAGAUUUGUUUGCACAACUCAAGCUUUGUGGUGCCCAUCGUGACCCACUUGCUUGCUAAAGAUUUUCUGACUCGUCAAAUAAUUUGAGAGGAUCAUUCAUUACCCCUCGUCUCACUGCUAAAAACAUUCGGUGUCACUAGUUGAAAGGAUCAAUCUGUCUUUUAUAAACCAAAAUGCCCCCUUGUCUUGUUGAAGGAAAUUAACAUCUCCUUUUCUAGAAUUUUUCCUUCUAAACACAAUGUUGCCCCCUUGUAUUGGUCAUUGCCCCUAAGUGUGCUCUGUCAGCGACUUAGACAAAUAAUGGUUUUAAGAGGUCAUUCUUUCAUUUCUCUCCUUUUCAGUUUGGUGAAGGAAUAUGGGUCUAGAAUGAAUCUUGAAAUCUUGAUCUUGCAUUUUGAAAACAAAAAUUAUUUCGAUGUGAGUCUAAAACAAUUUGCUUUUGAAAUCUUGCAACUCCUUGGUUAUUUUCUUUCUUGGAAAAGAGAUUAUUUGCUCUUGUGUUUGGCAAUGAGGUCUUCGGUAAAAAUACGUCAUGAGAUGACCUUUUGUUUUUAUAGGUUUUCAAAGUGGAGGGCUCGAGAAAAAGCUCGAGGUUUUGUAUGAGAAAAACUUGUCUCUUUUUUAACACUCAUUUUUAUCAGCAUGAAUAAUAAUGAGUAGUUUGUUCUUGAUAUCAUGAGUUUUAUGAAAAGUAUUCUUUGCAUUUUGAGAGCAUUGUUUAUUGUUCUAGGUUGCUUGCUUGCUUGAUUAGAAAGGACUUCUACAGGCACGUAACGUAGGCUGUGGUUUUUGGCUAUGAAAAAAAUGAUUCAUAAGGCUCAAAGAGUGUUUCAGGGUUUCAAAGAUUGAGGAUCACUAUCAACAGUUUAAUUCUUGAUGUCAUUCAUAUUUUCUUUUGCCGCUCUUUUUUGAUUUGCUGCUUUUUAUUUUUUUUAUUGCUUUGCUAGGACAUACUCAAUUUAUCUUGGAUGUCACUUUUUGUAGUCAUUUGAGCAUGCCCCCUAGCAUUUGAGUUUCUUGAGCUCUUAUGCCUUUUUGGCUUUCUCACGGCCUUUUCUCUUUUCUCAAUGAAAUUUUCUCUUGCCCCCUAGUGUGGAGUGUGAUCCUAAUCGGGAUUUAUUUCAUGAAAUAAAAAUUAUUCAGGCUAAAAAAGAGAUCGCAAGGGAUGUACUUAUUUCAGAAUGUGAAAGGAAUAACAAAGAUGACAUUUCCUCAUUUCAAGCACAAGUAGUUAAGAUCAAUAAACUGUGACCUCAUCCAGUAUGAUGGUUUGGUCUUUGCAAAGAUGCAUUUCAUGAAUCAUGAGCAACGAGUUCACUACAUACCAUUAUUCAUACAUUUAAAAACUCAUGAUUCAAAAGUCAUAGGGUAAGGGUGUUUAUUCACUUCUUUUUUUUUCUUUUUUUUUGGUUUAUAAUUUAGUCACCUUAAUGACAGAGUUGCUUGAUUCACUUGUCAUUCUACAAGUAGAAUGUCAAAAUAUCAUUUUUGAAUAAACCUCAAAUUAUUUUUUGAAAUCAAAAUGCCAGAUCAAUUUUUCAAAACUCCAAUAGGGGAACUAAUUUUGGUAAAAGAGAUGAAUUGCGUCUAUGAGACUACACGAGGCUUUAAAAGUGUAUUCGUGAGUUCUUAUAAGAAAACUCUCUUAAGAAGAUGAAUAAUGUUUGGUCGUAAACACAAUUGAAUGACAAACUCAUUAUUUCAUUGAAACUUUAGAAAAGAAGUUCAAUAACAAAGAACUUAUGCCAACAUCUUGGGCUAUGAAAAUUGGCUUGGUAACACAUAAAGGGGCUAAACAUUUAGCAAUCAUUGAUUGGAAUUUCUGGAAUCUUUCAAUCAUUCAUUCUCCUCAACAAGGGCAUCUUUUCAACAAUCAAUUGAAGUCAUAUGUAGAUCAUUCUCGACCUAAUAUCACCAUAGCUUUCUCUUCAAGAUAGUUGAUUUCUGGGAGUCGGCGUGAAGAAAUUAGCUAUAAGAACCAUAAAAGUCUUGGCCACCCCCUUCAGUGAACCCGUUCUUCUCAGUCGGGUUAGCAAUCUUACCUAACCCAAUGGCUUGUUCAAUCCUUUCAACUAUAACAACCAGGUCAGUGAAAUGUUGUGCAGAGCUUCUAACCAAGUAUUCAAAGUACGGAGCUUUAAAGCUGUUGGAAAAUAAACUGAUCAUCUCUUUUUCCAACAUAGGAGGGUUAACUUGUAUAGCUACCUCCCUCCAUCUUUGAGCGUAUUCCCUUAUGGACUCCUUGUUGUCCUUCUCCAUAGCUUGUAAGUUUAACCGAUCAGGGCCCACGUCUAUAUUAAACUUAUAUUGCCUCCUGAAGGCAUCAACUAAAUCCUUCCAUUUUUUAACCUUGGUAUUGUCCAACCGCAUAUACCAAGUGAGGGCAACAUCACUUAAGCUGUCUUGAAAGAAAUGAAUCAGCAGUUUCUCAUCAUCAACCACCUCAGCCAUUUUGUUGCAGUAUGCUUUGAGAUGAGUUAUAGGGCAUUGAGUUCCCGUAUAUUUGAUAAAUUUUGGCACUCUAAACUUUUUGAGAAUGACAACGUUAGGCACCAAACACAUCUCAGCAGCCUUUAUAGGAUCAUGUAGGCGAAUUCCCUCAAAUGCCCUCAUCCUUUGCUCUAGGGCAAUGAAUUUGUUCAGAUCAUCUUCUUUUACCAUCUUGCCUUUUUUAGAUUCCUUCUCGUUUGCUCCCGGAUUCUGUGGAGUGAAGGGAUUUACGAGCAUAGGUUCAGGCUGAGCUAUAUGUAUUGCUUUUUCGAAUUUGUCUCUCAAGGCCUGUUCGAGUAGACUAGUAAGCCUUGCGACUUCUUCUUUAAUAUUGUCCACCUCUUUUUUGUGUUGGGCUUUCAACUGGGCUCUUUCUUCGUUUUCCAUUUGUCUUUUUCUCAAAUGAUUGUUAUAGGUAGGUUUCAAUAGGGAACCUAUAAUUCAACCUGGGAAUGUAAAUCAUGCAAUUUAUGCAAAAAUGUUGAUUCAAUAAAAAAUGCGUAUGAAAUGCGGACUCGCCCUUCACGGGGUGACAAACUAAUAGGAAGAUCCUAAUUGUUGAGUGCAUCAAGGGGUUGGUCAUUAUCUAGUUUCAAAGGGUUUCUCGCAUGCUCAGUGAUCGUCCUUGAAAGGUCGAUAUGAGGCUUACAAGUAGUGUGAAAAUAGAGGCCCUGACUAAUAUCAGUUUGGCAUAUUAACCACUUCCAAGUAAACAAUCAAGCGAGAGCUGGAUGGUUUCACGAGUCUUACCCAAGCUAAAGCCGUUGGGGUACCGUUACUUCCCCACAUAUCCUAGAUUUUCAGGUGUGUGCUCUUAACGUGAUGCAUGACAAUAUAAACAUGGAUGCAUGCUAAAGCAAUAAAUGCAGGAAAAAUAAACAAAUAAACACAACAAACAAACAUUAUAGCAAUUGACAAACAAAAGGCAAAGCUUAGUCCAUUAGUCCCAAUGGAGUCGCCAUUCUGUCGCACCCGACAUCGCGGCGGCCUUAAAAAUAAUAUGGUGGAAUAGAAUGGAUUUCUGGCAUCCUGUUAUUUAAUGGGGAACAGUUUUGUUUAAGGAGUGGCCACCUAGUAUUAUGGUCACUAGGAACCCUAACUGGUCAACAGAGAUUCUAUGGUACGGGACUGGUUAUGCAAAAGAAAAGAUAUUAUCACCCUUUAAACGUCCUGCCUGAGGCAGGCUGCAUUGUUGGUUUUGUCAUAAAUUGCUAACAUUUUGUCGGUUUAUGCUAUGAUGGUUUGCGUGUAAUAUUCAUGACUUUGACGCCAGUGAAUAUUUAACUACGAAUAUUUCCAACUCUGGCGUUGGUAAAUAUUACGCAGCUAUAAAAAAAAUAAAUCUAAAUCAGUAUUUUUUAUUCCUGACUCUGGCGUCAGUGAAUAAACAAAUCAAAUAAAUUUAUUUUUUACGCAUACACAUUUUUUAUGUAACUAAAUAAAAGUAAAAUACAAUAAAAUAAAAUAAAUUUACAUCAGUAUCUUUAUUCCUGACUCUGGCGUCAGUGAAUAAACCAAUAAAUUUACUUUAUUUUAUUUUAUUUUUGCAUGCAUAUUUUUUAUUUUUAUGUAAUUUAAAUAAAAUACAAUGAAAUAAAUUUGAAUCAAUAUUUUUAUUCUGACUCUGACAUCAAUGAAUAAAAACAAUAAAUUCAUAUUUAUUUUUUAUUUAUACAUACACACAUCUUUGUUUUUUUGUUUUGUUUUUUUGGACUGGGCUGGACCCAGCCAGCCCGGCCCGGGUCACUGGCCCAAGCCAGUGACCCGGCUGGGCAAAAUGUGGAGCACGCGUGAAGUGAUUUCACGCGUGCAUUCACUGUGCGAAGGUAAUUAAAUUACCUUCGCACUGUGUUCUUUGAUCAUUUAAUUUCAAAGAACGCAAAGGGAUGAAGAGCUGGCGUACUGCUUCUGGAGUGGCGAAGAUGGCUGCAACGCUGGUGGUGACUUUCGCCUGCUUGAUACCUUUACUUCUGCCUUCCCUUUUUGCUCCUGUGCCCACGGUCUGCUUUCGUUUUCCAGCAGAUUUUGAGAUAAUGAAGGAACCGAGAACGAAGGUGCCGGCUUCUGUGGAUACUGAUUUUUGGGUCGUUUUCUGCAGGGAUGAAAGCAAUGGCAGAACCAAUUAUCCUCUCCGUGUUGUUCCUCUGCUUUUCUUUUGUUUCAAUUCGUGCUCUGCCUUCCCCUGUUUUCUGGUUUUUUUCUCUGGGUUUUGCUCCAGUUCUCUCCUCUGGUUCUGUUUUUUCCCCCCCUGGUUCUGUUUUUUUCGUCUAGGUUUAGCUUGAGUUUUUCCUCGGUUUCUCCUUCAAACCCCCCCUGCUUUUCUUCCUCUGUUUUCUGGGUUUUUCUUCUCUGGUUUUUCGUUCCCCCCCCCCCCCCCUCUCGCUCUGGGUUUUUCUUCCCCUUUUAUAGAGACCCAGCAGCUUGCCUCUAACCAGUCCUGCCUUUGCAGGACUGUUAUCUUCCACGAACGAGAUCGUGGGCAAGAGACGUGGUCCACGAUUGGAUCUGUUGCAGAUUUUCAGGUCUCCGGUUGAAUCGGGAUGAAGAAGAUCACACGACUGUUCCACCAGCAAUGGCGACGUUUCGGCUAAAAGACACAUUUUCAUUUUGACCCCUGCUUCUUUGGAAAUUCGGCAAUUGGAUCUCUAAGCAAUUAAAAAUUUAUUUUAAUUUUGCCCUUUUGGAUUAAUUUCAAUUAAAUCCCUAAAUUAUAACACUGUUUACAAAACAGUCCUUAAUUCCCGGAUUGUUCAAUUUGGCCUUUAAUUAAAUCUUUAACUUUUAAUUCUUUCAAAAUUGAUCAAUUAACUCUCAAAUUUUAUAAUUACAUCCCC